Molecule: ribosomal RNA, 138 nt
Filed under: Pogona vitticeps (central bearded dragon)
Lineage: Eukaryota; Metazoa; Chordata; Lepidosauria; Squamata; Agamidae
Source: RNAcentral
CCAGGAGACUUUAUGGGGGUCCCUCCAAGAAUGGUCAUCAUAGCACCCUCAUCUUAUAUGAUUUUGGUAGCUAAGCACGAUCAGGCAUGGUUAGUAUUUGGAUGGGAGACCAGUAGGAAUUGCUAGAAGCCUCCUGGG